Molecule: non-coding RNA, 399 nt
Organism: Onychomys torridus (southern grasshopper mouse)
Lineage: Eukaryota; Metazoa; Chordata; Mammalia; Rodentia; Cricetidae
Source: the annotation of a RefSeq genome assembly
AUGGAGUCACAGACCCAAGUUCUCAUGUCCCUACUGCUCUGGGCGUCUGGUAUCUGUGGGGAUAUCUUGAUGACCCAGUCUCCAUCCUCUAUUGCUGUGUCAGCAGGAGAAAAGGUCACCAUCAGCUGCAAGUCCAGCCAGAGUCUGUUUGGCAGCAAUGACAAGAAUUACUUAACCUGGUUCCAGCAGAAACCAGGGCAGAGUCCUAAACGUCUGAUCUACUGGGCAUCCACUCGGGACACUGGAGUCCCUGAUCGCUUCAUAGGCAGUGGGUCUGGGACAGAUUACACUCUCACCAUCAGCAGUGUCCAGCCUGAAGACCUGGCAGAUUAUUACUGUCAGCAGCAACACAGAGUUUUCACAUUUGGAUCUGGAAUGAUCCUCAAGUCUGUGUGGUAA